CAGGCCAGAGCCCUCCUGCAGCACCACCGGCAGGGUCACACCCCGUGUCCUGCCUUCGUUUUAGUCCCUUUCCCAGCCUCACGUCGUCCAAGGGCAGCUCCACGGCCAGGCCCUCGCCCAGGGGACCAGCAGGUGAAAAGCAGAAGGGACCUGGGGAGAACUGCGGGGGGCAGGGCAAGGCUCCGGCCUCCCCUCCCCACCCCCACGAGGCGACACCGCCCCAGACAGCAGCAGAGACAGCAGCCCCAGGAGGAAAAACAAGCCGGCUGCCGUGCGUGCGGGCCACUGUGCAGGAAGCAAUCCGGUUUCCUCUGCAGGGCGUAGGGGCUCCAGCCAACCGCAAUUUGUAGCAGUUUGGGUAACGCCCAGGGUGUCAGCUGCUGGUCUGGGGACGAGGGACGUCCCACCGGCUGGUCUGGCCAGCAGCUCAACCCAGACAGCAUUUACCAAACCCCUGCUGUGCGCACUGCCUGGGGCGGGUGGGGGUGGGGGGCAGGGGCCACACCCCCCACCGGGGAUCACAGCCUCCAGGGGUCCCAGCAGGGCGCUCCUCACAGCUGCAAGCACCUAGAGGCGCCGCGGCGGUGCUGCGAGUGUGCCACCAUCCUGGAAGCACCGCAGCAGCCCUGGGGCCUGAGCUGGGCCAGCCUUCCGAAGCCAGGCUGGGGGGACACGCAGGGACAGGGGGAAGGCCGGGGAGGCCCAAGGGCAGGGGCCAGGCCUGCAGCCGGCCUCCCAGAGUGACCAGGCAGCGUGCAGCCCACCCACUGCAGGGCUUUGCUCAGGGCGUGGCAAGGAGGCCGGGGAAAGGGGCGUGGGCCCUGCGUGCCCUGUCCUGGGCACACAUGUGUGGAACCAUCUCAGGGCUUCUCCCACCUCAGAACAUCCAGGUCAGAGGCAGAGCUGCCCUGUGUCCUGCUGUCACUCCCUUGGUGGGUCACC
Phacochoerus africanus (Common warthog) is the source of this 942-nucleotide long non-coding RNA. RefSeq lists it as uncharacterized. Lineage: Eukaryota; Metazoa; Chordata; Mammalia; Artiodactyla; Suidae. The transcript has 2 exons. The record is from RefSeq and is a predicted model, not a curated record.